This 468-nucleotide ribosomal RNA is filed under the name uncultured bacterium. RNAcentral's name for it is "partial 16S ribosomal RNA". It matches the Rfam family "Bacterial small subunit ribosomal RNA", at positions 28 to 507 of the family's 1533-position model. The record is from RNAcentral.
GACGAACGCUGGCGGCGUGCUUAACACAUGCAAGUCGAACGGAAAGGCCCUGCUUUUGUGGGGUGCUCGAGUGGCGAACGGGUGAGUAACACGUGAGUAACCUGCCCUUGACUUUGGGAUAACUUCAGGAAACUGGGGCUAAUACCGGAUAGGAGCUCCUUCUGCAUGGUGGUGGUUGGAAAGUUUCGGCGGUUGGGGAUUGACUCGCGGCUUAUCAGCUUGUUGGUGGGGUAGUGGCUUACCAAGGCUUUGACGGGUAGCCGGCCUGAGAGGGUGACCGGCCACAUUGGGACUGAGAUACGGCCCAGCCUCCUACGGGAGGCAGAAGUGGGGAAUUUUGCACAAUGGGCGGAAGCCUGAUGCAGCAACGCCGCGUGCGGGAUGACGGCCUUCGGGUUGUAAACCGCUUUCGCCUGUGACGAAGCGUGAGUGACGGUAAUGGGUAAAGAAGCACCGGCUAACUACGUG